CUGGCAUGGGAAAAGCGCUGAGUCAGACUGUGGAAUACGCCUUAGCCAACGCCCCCGGUGAGGAGGCCUGGAGGGAGGUGCCUGGGUGAGGACUGCAGAUGCCUACAGGAUCGUGGCUGAGUCCUUGACUCCCUGCAGAGACUUCCUGGCAUGGGCUUGGCACAGGUCUGGGGGGGGGGAAGGCAGCUUUCCCUGUUGGGCCUGCCGGGCAAAGGCUUGUCAGUGCCUGGGGCCCCCUCCUGAAGGAUCACACGUAGGACUGUGGCUGGGAGUGGCCUCCUCAGUCUCCACCCCAGCCUUGGGCCCGAUGACUGUGGCUAGUGCACUGGAGGUAGACACCACCUGGCCCCCAAGAAUGGCUGGUGAACCCUGACCUUCCCGUAAAGGACCACGUAGGCACGAAAUGGAGAGGCUGGGGUUGCCGAUGGGGCAAAGAGGAGACAAAACAGGUGGAGAGAGACGCCCGGGCCUGCCAACCAUGAGGGAAGGCCCAGGCCCUACACUCCUCAGAGCAGCAGCAAGACGCCCACUGGCAGAUGUCUCCGUGUGGUGGGGCCAGUUUUGGAGCCUCAUCACAAUGUCCACAGGGUCUCCGAACUGGGAAGGAUCAGGAACACAGUGACUCCCAGAUGACACAGUCAUUAAACAGCCAUGUUGCAGGGAAGAAGUUCUCUCUCAGGAAGAUGAGCAGUGGAAAAGAGCCUGUAUUAUGCUCUCCGCAUCUGCCAGACAAGGGAGGCGGCGGGUGGGGCAGGAGGCCCAGUGGAGGGUGGAACAGUGGGAUGAUAUGGAGAAUCAGCUCCUGUGAGCCUGGGGGCUUCCUCAGGAACUUGAAUCCCCAGCCCAGCCAGACCCCCUGGCCGACUUUCCCGUACCAACCACUUUGGCUUCCGUGCUGCCACUUUUGGGCCAUCCGUGCUGGGGGUACUUUCCCAUCGAUUGAGCCCUCGAAGGGGCCUCAUGGGCUCCUCACAGCACAGCCUCUGCCAAUAUCAACAGCCGCAGCAGCCACAUCCUGACAGCAACCACCACCUUGAGGAAUGGAAUCUUCUUCUGCCAUGUCUCCGAUACUAACCUAGGCACCUGUGUCUUACAGAGGAUUUUUAUGUUGUUUCCCAGUUCAAAGGCCUGUCUGAAAGAUGCUCUUUGGAUUUCAAAAAUACUGGGUUAAAAUUUCUGACACAGUAAAGCAGAAUACUUGAUAUUGUGUAUGUAUAAAAAAUUCUGAGUGCACUGCUGCUAUAGAUGAAUGACUCUUGUCCUUAUUGAUAUACAUAAUUAGUAAACCCGACACCAGUGUUGAUUCAGCAUGGUGGGCCUUCGGGGCUGGGUAACUGGGUGGAGGGACAUCCCCCGGUCUCUCAAGCAGCUCUGAGGGGUGUGCGCCUCUGGCUGUGCAGGCCCACAAGCUCAAGCCGGCAGCGGGCAGGCACAGUUCAAGUUCAACCACGAGCAAAGGGUCCGGCAUUGGAACCCCGUGUCCGCUCCAAUGCUCAGAUUCUUCAGGGCACUCUCUUCCUCUCCUUUCCUCACAAGAGCCAGACACCUACUCAUUUCUUCACUCUGUACUUCCCUUUGUUCCUUCAACUCUUAAGCAGGAAAAAUUUUGUUUCUUAAGUAAUUGCAUUGAGAUAUCACCAGUGGAUGCUGGAGCCAGCUUGCUCCAGCUCCUGAAACCUAAGUGCUAAAUUUUCAGGGGUCUUGGGAGCCAGUUGUUAACACAGAAAUCAUUAAAAAUUAAACGUUAAAAACUUACUAUUAGAUGAAUUGUAUUAAAAUGAAGGGAAAAAAUACUCAAACUUGUCACUUGCAGCUCAUUCACAUUUGACUGCAUUUAUGCUCGCAAG
Molecule: long non-coding RNA, 1847 nt
Filed under: Homo sapiens (human)
Lineage: Eukaryota; Metazoa; Chordata; Mammalia; Primates; Hominidae
Description: HSALNT0265886
Source: RNAcentral